Molecule: ribosomal RNA, 274 nt
Filed under: uncultured bacterium
Lineage: Bacteria
Description: partial 16S ribosomal RNA
Rfam family: Bacterial small subunit ribosomal RNA
Source: RNAcentral
AUACGGAGGGGGCUAGCGUUGUUCGGAAUUACUGGGCGUAAAGCGCGCGUAGGCGGACCUGUAAGUCGGGGGUGAAAGCCCGAGGCUCAACCUCGGAACUGCCUUCGAUACUACAGGUCUUGAGUCCGAGAGAGGUGAGUGGAAUUCCUAGUGUAGAGGUGAAAUUCGUAGAUAUUAGGAAGAACACCAGUGGCGAAGGCGGCUCACUGGCUCGGUACUGACGCUGAGGUGCGAAAGCGUGGGGAGCAAACAGGAUUAGAAACCCCGGUAGUCC